Molecule: ribosomal RNA, 39 nt
Filed under: Colletotrichum truncatum
Lineage: Eukaryota; Fungi; Ascomycota; Sordariomycetes; Glomerellales; Glomerellaceae
Also listed under: 40 other names
Description: partial 28S ribosomal RNA
Source: RNAcentral
UUGACCUCGGAUCAGGUAGGAAUACCCGCUGAACUUAAG